UAGGGAAUCUUCGGCAAUGGACGAAAGUCUGACCGAGCAACGCCGCGUGAGUGAAGAAGGGUUUCGGAUCGUAAAACUCUGUUGUUAGAGAAGAACAAGGACGUUAGUAACUGAACGUCCCCUGACGGUAUCUAACCAGAAAGCCACGGCUAACUACGUGCCAGCAGCCGCGGUAAUACGGAGGUGGCAAGCGUUGUCCGGAUUUAUUGGGCGUAAAGCGAGCGCAGGCGGUUUCUUAAGUCUGAUGUGAAAGCCCCCGGCUCAACCGGGGAGGGUCAUUGGAAACUGGGAGACUGGAGUGGAGAAGGGGAGAGUGGAUUUCCAUGUGUAGCGGUGAAAUGCGUAGAUAUAUGGAGAAACACGAGUGGCGAGGGCGGCUCUCUGGUCUGUAACUGACGCUGAGGCUGGAAGGCGUGGGGAGCAAACAGG
This 429-nucleotide ribosomal RNA is filed under the name Gemmatimonadota bacterium. RNAcentral describes it as "Gemmatimonadetes bacterium partial 16S ribosomal RNA". It matches the Rfam family "Bacterial small subunit ribosomal RNA", at positions 355 to 776 of the family's 1533-position model. The record is from RNAcentral. Lineage: Bacteria; Pseudomonadati; Gemmatimonadota.